RNAcentral lists this microRNA (22 nucleotides) under Salicornia europaea (common glasswort). Its description in RNAcentral is "seu-miR11047". Lineage: Eukaryota; Viridiplantae; Streptophyta; Magnoliopsida; Caryophyllales; Amaranthaceae. The record is from miRBase by way of RNAcentral.
CACUGAUGAUGAGGGGAGACCG